Molecule: long non-coding RNA, 2866 nt
Organism: Gossypium raimondii (Peruvian cotton)
Lineage: Eukaryota; Viridiplantae; Streptophyta; Magnoliopsida; Malvales; Malvaceae
Exons: 5
Source: RefSeq, a predicted model, not a curated record
CUUUUAAAGCGGCCUAUUUCCUAAUUUUCGAAAAAUCGUUCUAAAUUUCUAAAUUUUCUUUAAAAUCAGCAUAUUCACCGAAUUUUGCAGCAUUUAAACUCAAUGACUUAUUAUUUUUAAAAGUUUAAUUUUACCAUUUAUAUAGAAAGUUAGAAAUCUGUGCCUUAAGUCCAUUUUUUUAGUAAUGGAUUUGAUAUUAUCCGCACGACUUCCAUAAAGUUUUUAAUAAUCCAGUUAAUCGCAAUCUGACAACGAAAUACGACAGAGAAGAAGUAAAUCAGCUGCUCAAUCCUUUUCUAUCAGGAAUAUGCUGACAGCCAUGGUACUGCUCUUCUUGAGGUUUUGCAGUGCUACAUGAGUAAGUGAUGGUCCUGGUCCACUUGCAGAUUUAUUGUCCUGUUCUUGAAUUAUGAUGUAACAGGUAUGAACUUGAUGGUGUAUCAAGUACACAAGAAGGAAAAUGGUAUUAAGAAAUAAUAACAAUUGAUUAUAAUGGGAUUAAAUCUCUGAAAACAAUGAAAUAAAAAUGGAGUUGAUGCUGAAACUGCAUUAGGCAGGUGUAGAACUCUGCAUGCGAAAAUGCUAAAAAGAAUCAGAUGAAACUAUAAAGGGCAGUAUCAAUUUGAAACCGAUCAGUAUGUUUGGUGUGGAUCAGUUCUUUCCUGAUUGAAACUUCUGUUUCUUACCUAGAAUUUCAGUUUCUGUUUCAACUGUACUAGCUUUAAGUUAAGGGCCAAGAUUUUAAUUUCUUUUAAUAAAAUUUCUGCAGUGAUCAUGGUGAAGGGUAGUUCCUUCCUCGUGCAGCUAUCCUGGUGUUCCUCCUUUUUUUUUUUUUUUUCCUUUUUUUCUUUACAAGAUGGAGUAUAUGAUGCAGCAUUGAAAUUGAUUCCUAAACUAUUGCAAACUCAGGAUAGUAGCGAAAAUGGAUUAAUAGAUAUCUAGAAGCUGGAAAUGAAUGUAAGAUAUUGGCGUUGUGAUUUAACAAUAUUGUUCUAUAUAACUAAUUUUUCAAGAAAUGUAGAGAUUUUGAAUUUGCAGUAGCUCCUCUUUUUAUGACCAGUAUAGCAAUUACUUUAUCACUGAUAUGUUCGAUCGAGCAUAUGAAUUUGUGGAAUUCUGCUAGUCAGAAUAAAAGAUGUGUUUAAAUGUAAAAAUACUAACUAAAUGACUUGGAUUAAUAGUUGUGGCGGUGUUUCUUCCAUAGUUUUCUAUACUUGUAUGGACAAUAGACUCGUAUGUAUGUUAAUGCAGUUUUAGUGGUUCUAGGUUUUAAAUAAAAUUUGAAGGUUUCAGCUGUUAACUCAGUAGGAUUACUAGUGUGUAAUUUUCCUUCUGGUUCUUCUUACUGAGUCUUGUGUUGUGUGUGAUACGAUCAUGCACUAGAACAACUACAUUAACUGUCAAAAUAGAAUGCUUCAGGAAAUGAAAAAUGGGUCUGACAGAAAUGAUAUGGCAUAUUAGGCAUCCGUGUUAAAAAAUGAUGGUAUACUACAUGUAGGGUCAGGUGAAAUUCUGCGUAUUCUGGCCACAAUGAAACUGAGUACGCACUGUUGGGACAAUUUCCUGCUUCAAACAUGUUGGAAAAUGACAGCUUGGAAGAAAUGAAGACGUCGUUUCACCCCUGGUUGACCUAUUACGUUGUAUGAUUGGGUCUGAGUGAGCAGACCCACACUGCAAUGUGAAUUCAUGCUGGAUUUAUUGUUAUGGUCAUCUUUGUCACUAAACUUAUUGACUCUUAAUUGGUUUUACUAACUUUACCAAAGGUGGGUCUGUAGUUUCUCUCUUUGUUAAACAGGGGAUUCUUGCAUUCAAACCGUGGAGAAUCAGUCAUAUAGAUAGUGUCAAACAAGCAGAGCUUGUGGUGAAUCAGCACCGUUUGUUUGGGUGCCAGUAAUGUUGAUAUGUUGAUUCUGCACAAUGAUUGAUCCUCGACCAAUCGAAAUGUGUUAUGCCCUUGUGAUCCUUUGGUUCUCCUGUGGAUCACAGAAGCUGGUGAAUUGCUGCCACACACUUGCAUGUUCAGGCCAUGUGGAUUGCACAAAUGAGCAAAGACAAAGGGAUUCACCAACUCAGCGUCUAUUCUGGCACACCAAGAACAAGCACUUCUUCUGAGUAUUUUGUCUCUCUUCAUUGUGCCUGUUCAUCAGCAAAAUAACCCCCCUGCCCCCGGUUUGCAAUUGUGAUUUUCUCUGUAUCUCGUGGCGCAUAUUUAUUACACGGUCAGUUUCAAAAUCAUUCAUCUCGGUGGCCCCACUUUUUUCACUUUGCUUUCAUGAUGUUGAUCUGCUAAUGAUAAUUUUUUGUCAUCUUUGAUCUGGAGCCAACAGCAUUGGCGACAAUACAUGGAAGUUCUAAGAUAAAACUAACAAACUAAAGCUUGUGUAGGGACUGGGAAGGAUAUGAUACGCCAUUAAGCAAGACAAAGCUGGGAUGUGGAAAAAAUGGAUGUGCCAUGGCUAUGGAGGAUCAACAAUUACAGUCACCUUGGUGGGACUCCGCUGGUUACUAGAGCAAAGAGAGAGAUAAUAUGAGUUGAAAGCAAAUAUGAAGUAAAAGGUAAAGCUUUUUCCCAGAGAUUCCUCUCCCUAUCUGAUGGUUGGAUGAUAAAAGUUAUGAAAGGGUCAGUCAUCAGUUUCAGUAUGUUUUAUAUAUGUGUGUGAAAGGUUGGAGAAUGGGUGUGGUUCCCAAGUGAUGGGAUUGGUGGUGGGUGAGGUGAAAGCAGAACAAAUAGGAAGGAGACGAUCCAGUGAGCAGUGAUCCAUAAAAUGUUUUAACUUUUGCCAUUUGUAUUCUUUGUUAGAAUAAGAAAAUGAUUGGGACCGGAACAUGACCUUGUACGUUGGACAAGACAACUCCUUUCAGUCCA